This 85-nucleotide ribosomal RNA is filed under the name Pherosphaera fitzgeraldii. RNAcentral describes it as "partial 5.8S ribosomal RNA". It matches the Rfam family "5.8S ribosomal RNA", at positions 73 to 154 of the family's 154-position model. From Rfam's summary of the family: 5.8S ribosomal RNA (5.8S rRNA) is a component of the large subunit of the eukaryotic ribosome. It is transcribed by RNA polymerase I as part of the 45S precursor that also contains 18S and 28S rRNA. RNAcentral also lists the same sequence under 1 other name. The record is from RNAcentral. Lineage: Eukaryota; Viridiplantae; Streptophyta; Pinopsida; Araucariales; Podocarpaceae.
UGCAGAAUCCCGUGAAUCAUCGAGUCUUUGAACGCAAGUUGCGCCCGAGGCUUCGGUCGAGGGCACGUCUGCCUGGGCGACGCAC